GACGAACGCUGGCGGCGUGCCUAACACAUGCAAGUCGAACGGAAAGGCCCUGCUUUUGUGGGGUGCUCGAGUGGCGAACGGGUGAGUAACACGUGAGUAACCUGCCCUUGACUUUGGGAUAACUUCAGGAAACUGGGGCUACUACCGGAUAGGAGCUCCUGCUGCAUGGUGGGGGUUGGAAAGUUUCGGCGGUUGGGGAUGGACUCGCGGCUUAUCAGCUUGUUGGUGGGGUAGUGGCUUACCAAGGCUUUGACGGGUAGCCGGCCUGAGAGGGUGACCGGGCACAAGGGGACUGAGGGACGGAGCAGACGGGUACGGGAGGCAGCGGGGGGGAGUAUGGCACAGUGGUCCGGAGCCUGAGGCAGAAGCGCCGCGUGCGGGAUGACGGCUUUCUGGUUGUGAACAGCUGUCGCCUGAGACGAAGCGGGAGUGACGGUAAUGGGUAAAGAAGCACCGGCUAACUACGUG
RNAcentral lists this ribosomal RNA (468 nucleotides) under uncultured bacterium. RNAcentral's name for it is "partial 16S ribosomal RNA". It matches the Rfam family "Bacterial small subunit ribosomal RNA", at positions 28 to 507 of the family's 1533-position model. The record is from RNAcentral.